RNAcentral lists this ribosomal RNA (468 nucleotides) under uncultured bacterium. RNAcentral describes it as "partial 16S ribosomal RNA". It matches the Rfam family "Bacterial small subunit ribosomal RNA", at positions 28 to 507 of the family's 1533-position model. The record is from RNAcentral.
GACGAACGCUGGCGGCGUGCUUAACACAUGCAAGUCGAACGGAGAGGCCCUGCUUUUGUGGGGUGCUCGAGUGGCGAACGGGUGAGUAACACGUGAGUAACCUGCCCUUGACUUUGGGAUAACUUCAGGAAACUGGGGCUAAUACCGGAUAGGAGCUCCUGCUGCAUGGUGGGGGUUGGAAAGUUUCGGCGGUUGGGGAUGGACUCGCGGCUUAUCAGCUUGUUGGUGGGGUAGUGGCUUACCAAGGCUUUGACGGGUAGCCGGCCUGAGAGGGUGACCGGCCACAUUGGGACUGAGAUACGGCCCAGACUCCUACGGGAGGCAGCAGUGGGGAAUAUUGCACAAUGGGCGGAAGCCUGAUGCAGCAUCGCCGCGUGCGGGAUGACGGCCUUCGGGUUGUAAACCGCUUUCGCCUGUGACGAAGCGUGAGUGACGGUAAUGGGUAAAGAAGCACCGGCUAACUACGUG